This 527-nucleotide ribosomal RNA is filed under the name uncultured Staphylococcus sp. RNAcentral's name for it is "bacterial SSU rRNA". It matches the Rfam family "Bacterial small subunit ribosomal RNA", at positions 28 to 537 of the family's 1533-position model. The record is from RNAcentral. Lineage: Bacteria; Bacillati; Bacillota; Bacilli; Caryophanales; Staphylococcaceae.
GAUGAACGCUGGCGGCGUGCCUAAUACAUGCAAGUCGAGCGAACAGACGAGGAGCUUGCUCCUCUGACGUUAGCGGCGGACGGGUGAGUAACACGUGGAUAACCUACCUAUAAGACUGGGAUAACUUCGGGAAACCGGAGCUAAUACCGGAUAAUAUAUUGAACCGCAUGGUUCAAUAGUGAAAGACGGUUUUGCUGUCACUUAUAGAUGGAUCCGCGCCGCAUUAGCUAGUUGGUAAGGUAACGGCUUACCAAGGCAACGAUGCGUAGCCGACCUGAGAGGGUGAUCGGCCACACUGGAACUGAGACACGGUCCAGACUCCUACGGGAGGCAGCAGUAGGGAAUCUUCCGCAAUGGGCGAAAGCUUGACGGAGCAACGCCGCGUGAGUGAUGAAGGUCUUCGGAUCGUAAAACUCUGUUAUUAGGGAAGAACAAAUGUGUAAGUAACUAUGCACGUCUUGACGGUACCUAAUCAGAAAGCCACGGCUAACUACGUGCCAGCAGCCGCGGUAAUACGUAGGUGGNCA